ACACGACUCUCGGCAACGGAUAUCUCGGCUCUCGCAUCGAUGAAGAACGUAGCGAAAUGCGAUACCUGGUGUGAAUUGCAGAAUCCCGCGAACCAUCGAGUCUUUGAACGCAAGUUGCGCCCGAAGGCCUUGGGCCGAGGGCACGCCUGCCUGGGCGUCACGC
This 163-nucleotide ribosomal RNA is filed under the name Sinobambusa rubroligula. RNAcentral describes it as "5.8S ribosomal RNA". It matches the Rfam family "5.8S ribosomal RNA". Rfam says of the family: 5.8S ribosomal RNA (5.8S rRNA) is a component of the large subunit of the eukaryotic ribosome. Lineage: Eukaryota; Viridiplantae; Streptophyta; Magnoliopsida; Poales; Poaceae. The record is from RNAcentral.